This 235-nucleotide ribosomal RNA is filed under the name uncultured bacterium. RNAcentral's name for it is "partial 16S ribosomal RNA". It matches the Rfam family "Bacterial small subunit ribosomal RNA", at positions 100 to 334 of the family's 1533-position model. The record is from RNAcentral.
CGGGACGGGUGGGUAAUGUCUGGGAAACGUGCCUGAUGGAGGGGGGUAACUACUGGAAACGGUAGCUAAUACCGCAUAACGUCGCAAGACCAAAGAGGGGGACCGUUCGGGCCUCUUGCCAUCGGAUGUGCCCAGAUGGGAUUAGCUAGUAGGUGGGGUAACGGCUCACCUAGGCGACGAUCCCUAGCUGGUCUGAGAGGAUGGCCAGCCACACUGGAACUGAGACACGGUCCAG